Molecule: transfer RNA, 72 nt
Filed under: Bos taurus (domestic cattle)
Lineage: Eukaryota; Metazoa; Chordata; Mammalia; Artiodactyla; Bovidae
Also listed under: 4 other names
Rfam family: tRNA
About the family: Transfer RNA (tRNA) molecules are approximately 80 nucleotides in length. Their secondary structure includes four short double-helical elements and three loops (D, anti-codon, and T loops).
Source: Rfam by way of RNAcentral
UCCCUGGUGGCUCCAACAGCAGAGAGUCUGCCUGCAAUGCAGGAGACUCAGGUUCAAUUCCUGGAUUGGGAA